This 253-nucleotide ribosomal RNA is filed under the name uncultured bacterium. RNAcentral's name for it is "partial 16S ribosomal RNA". It matches the Rfam family "Bacterial small subunit ribosomal RNA", at positions 524 to 776 of the family's 1533-position model. The record is from RNAcentral.
UACGUAGGGUGCGAGCGUUGUCCGGAAUUAUUGGGCGUAAAGGGCUCGUAGGCGGUCUGUCGCGUCGGGAGUGAAAACUUACAGCUUAACUGUGAGCGUGCUUCCGAUACGGGCAGACUUGAGGUAUUCAGGGGAGAACGGAAUUCCUGGUGUAGCGGUGAAAUGCGCAGAUAUCAGGAGGAACACCGGUGGCGAAGGCGGUUCUCUGGGAAUAUCCUGACGCUGAGGAGCGAAAGUGUGGGGAGCAAACGGG